UGGCCCUGGGCACAUACUUGU
RNAcentral lists this unclassified non-coding RNA (21 nucleotides) under Mus musculus (house mouse). Its description in RNAcentral is "oocyte_clustered_small_RNA13373". The record is from RNAcentral. Lineage: Eukaryota; Metazoa; Chordata; Mammalia; Rodentia; Muridae.